GCGCCUGUAGCUCAGUCGGUAGAGCAGCGGACUUUUAAUCCGUUGGUCGAGGGUUCGAGUCCCUCCGGGCGCACCA
The sequence is a transfer RNA, 76 nucleotides long. It matches the Rfam family "tRNA". Rfam says of the family: Transfer RNA (tRNA) molecules are approximately 80 nucleotides in length. Their secondary structure includes four short double-helical elements and three loops (D, anti-codon, and T loops).